UCCGGUCACGCCCCCAACAUGGCGGCCACGCGAGCUGCAGUACGACCAGCGCUCAGGCUCCUGUUUAGCCGCUGCCUGGCCCCUCGCUAUGCCUCGCCGUGCCCCCCACAGCCGGCUCGCUCAGGAAGCAUCGACAUCCGGAGCUCCUACGGCGGAGUUAGGAGCGGCUCCCACGUCCGCAGCUGGGAAAGCGGGGCCGGGGUGGUGGGGGAGGACGGAGAGGAGCCCGAGGAGGAGGAGCUGCUGAGCCGGGAACCACUGCUGCCCGCUGAGGCCCAGCGUGUGUGCGUCCUGCAUCCUGACGUCGGGGGCCGCGCCGGAAGGAAGGCGUACGACACAGAGUGUCAGGUGGCGGAGGCUGCCGCGCUGGUGCGCACAUUGCAUGGCUGGUCGGUGGUGCGGACCCUGGUGGUGCCCACGAGGGUCCCAGACAGCAAGUUUGUCUUUGGCAAAGGAAACUUCCAGGAGCUGACGGAGAAGAUCAAGGGAUCUGUGGACAUCACGUGUGUGUUUCUGAAUGUAGAGAGGAUGACGGCUCUGACCAAGAAGACCCUGCAGACUGCCUGGGGCGUCCAUGUGUUAGACAGGUUCACUAUCGUACUGCACAUAUUCCGCUGUAAUGCCCGCACCAAGGAGGCCCGGCUGCAGCUGGCUCUGGCAGAGAUCCCUCUGCUGAGGUCUACCCUGAGUAGCUGCUCUGCACGACUGGACCAGCAAGGAAGGGGCUCACGGUACAUCAUGGGGUCAGGAGAGUCAUCCACAGAGCUGUGCCAACGGGCACUAAAGGAGAAGGAGGUGAAGAUCAGGCGUGCGCUAGAGCGGUUGCGGGACAAGCGGAGUAUGCUAAGGAAGCAGCGCUUGCGGCGCGAGUUCCCCAUUGUGUCUGUUGUCGGCUACACCAACUGUGGGAAAACCACGCUCAUCAAGGCCCUGACGGGGGAGGCCACCAUGCAGCCAUGUGACCAGCUGUUCACAACCCUUGAUGUCACGGCACAUGCAGGGUUGCUGCCAUCAUGCAUGCCCAUCCUGUACAUGGAUACCAUUGGCUUCCUGUCACAGCUGCCACAUAGCCUGAUCCAGUCAUUCUCCACCACGCUGGAGGACGUGGUGCAUUCGGAUGUUAUCCUGCAUGUGAGGGACAUGAGCCACCCCAACACAGAGCAACAGAAGGCCAGUGUCUUGUCUACACUGCGAGGGCUGCAGCUGCGGCCUGCACUCUUGAACUCCAUGUUGGAAGUUCACAACAAGGUGGAUCUGGUUCCUGGGUACAGGCCCCCAGGGCACCACGUCCUGGCUGUGUCUGCACUCCUGGGCCAUGGGCUAGACAAGCUGAAGGCGACACUGGAGGAGACGGUUCUGCAGGCCACUGGCCGGCGGGUGCUCACCCUCUGCUUACGGCUUGGGGGACCCCAGCUCUGGGACCCAUGACACCAUGGCAUACUGCCUGAGCCGGAAGUCCCCAAUCUCCUGGGGAGAGUUGGCUGCUGCACCCAGCUGGAGCGGGUCACACCCUGAAAUAUGGGGCCCUUGGUGUUGAGAUGGUCAGUCACACUGACAUCCCUAUGGCACCGUCACCAAGAUCUCCAAGUGGCUGGAGUUGCACCCCCAUGAGGUAAUCAUUCUGGCCUGCAGAAACUCUGAAGGAUGACAGGAGACUUGCACGAGUACAUCAUAGACUGCAUCAAGAACAUCUUCAGGGACUCUCUGUGUCUGCGUGGGGUGAGAAGGAGGAUUGUACGGGCUAGGGUGAGGAAGGCCUGGUAUUUAGGUGUAGGCAUGUGGCCUCAGGGUGAGGAGGACUUAGGCGGGUGGACAUACCAUGUAUGUUGGGGGACCAGAAGCAACAGAGGAGGACUGGUGCAGGAGAAUUGUCUGUAUUCUGUCAAUCAUGUUUUAAAUAAAUGCUGAUUGGCCAGGCAGGAAGUAUAGGUGGGAAAACCAAACAGGAAGUAGAAAUGAUGCAAGGAGAACAGAAG
RNA transcript from Arvicola amphibius (Eurasian water vole), 1976 nucleotides. It is a transcript of the gene named putative GTP-binding protein 6, with no coding region annotated. The record is from RefSeq and is a predicted model, not a curated record. The transcript has 11 exons. NCBI's taxonomy places the organism in Eukaryota, Metazoa, Chordata, Mammalia, Rodentia, Cricetidae.